This is a transfer RNA of 93 nucleotides. It matches the Rfam family "tRNA". From Rfam's summary of the family: Transfer RNA (tRNA) molecules are approximately 80 nucleotides in length. Their secondary structure includes four short double-helical elements and three loops (D, anti-codon, and T loops).
UCCCCGGUGGCGCAAUUGGCUAGCGCGUCAGACUGUUAAGUGAUUUCCUCACUUGUAAUCUGGAGGCUGAAAGUUCGAGCCUUUCCCGGGGAG